Molecule: Y RNA, 100 nt
Filed under: Microcebus murinus (gray mouse lemur)
Lineage: Eukaryota; Metazoa; Chordata; Mammalia; Primates; Cheirogaleidae
Description: Y RNA (ENSMICG00000045483.1)
Rfam family: Y RNA
About the family: Y RNAs are components of the Ro ribonucleoprotein particle (Ro RNP), in association with Ro60 and La proteins.
Source: Rfam by way of RNAcentral
GGCUGGUCCAAUGGUAGUGGGUUAUCAGAACUUAUUAACAUUAGUGUCACUAAAGUUGGUAUUCAACCACCCCCCCGCUGCUAAAUUUGACUGGCUUUAA